UGGCACCACCCAGACAAGCGGCGAGCAGCUGGGGAGGAGGUGAGGGAUGACGAUGACUACUUCACCUGCAUCACCAAAGCCUAUGAGAUUCUCGGGGACCCCAAUCAAGCGACGCUCCUGGGACUCGGUGGACCCAGAGUUUGAUGACGAGGUGCCGGCUGUCAGUGCACACAAUAAGGCAAACUUCUUCCAGAUUUUCACGGGUGUUUGAGUGCAAUGCUCGUUGGUCCACCCACAAGCACGUUCCUGGCUUGGGCAAACCUGAUGACACCAAACAAAAGGUUGAUCGCUUCUAUGGAUUCUGGUACGACUUUGAUUCCUGGCGAGAGUUUUCAUAUCUGGAGAUGAGGAGGAAAAGGAGAA
Scylla paramamosain (green mud crab) is the source of this 363-nucleotide long non-coding RNA. RefSeq lists it as uncharacterized. The transcript has 3 exons. The record is from RefSeq and is a predicted model, not a curated record. NCBI's taxonomy places the organism in Eukaryota, Metazoa, Arthropoda, Malacostraca, Decapoda, Portunidae.